RNAcentral lists this ribosomal RNA (240 nucleotides) under uncultured bacterium. RNAcentral describes it as "partial 16S ribosomal RNA". It matches the Rfam family "Bacterial small subunit ribosomal RNA", at positions 28 to 295 of the family's 1533-position model. The record is from RNAcentral.
GGUAAACGCUGGCGGCGUGCCUAAAACAUGCAAGUCGAACGGACCCUUCGGGGUUAGUGGCGGACGGGUGAGUAACACGUGGGAAUGUGCCUUUAGGUUCGGAACAACACAGGGAAACUUGUGCUAAUACCGAAUGUGCCCUUCGGGGAAGGAUUUAUUGCCUUAGUAGCAGCCCGCCGUCUGAUUAGUCUUGUUGGUGAGGUAAAGGCUCACCAAGGCGACGAUCAGUAGCUGGUCUGA